Molecule: transfer RNA, 77 nt
Filed under: Lachnospiraceae bacterium
Lineage: Bacteria; Bacillati; Bacillota; Clostridia; Lachnospirales; Lachnospiraceae
Also listed under: 8 other names
Description: tRNA-Val
Rfam family: tRNA
About the family: Transfer RNA (tRNA) molecules are approximately 80 nucleotides in length. Their secondary structure includes four short double-helical elements and three loops (D, anti-codon, and T loops). Further hydrogen bonds mediate the characteristic L-shaped molecular structure. tRNAs have two regions of fundamental functional importance: the anti-codon, which is responsible for specific mRNA codon recognition, and the 3' end, to which the tRNAs corresponding amino acid is attached (by aminoacyl-tRNA synthetases). tRNAs cope with the degeneracy of the genetic code in two manners: having more than one tRNA (with a specific anti-codon) for a particular amino acid; and 'wobble' base-pairing, i.e. permitting non-standard base-pairing at the 3rd anti-codon position.
Source: RNAcentral
GGACGCUUAGCUCAGCUGGCUAGAGCACCUGCUUGACGUGCAGGGGGUCAGCGGUUCAAGUCCGUUAGCGUCCACCA